UAUUACAGAGUACAAACUAUAAAGUCCUGGGAACUGAUAUAUAUCAGGAAGUUCCCAGGACUUUAUAGUUUGUACUUUGCCUAGAUCUAGAUAU
This 94-nucleotide microRNA precursor is filed under the name Marmota monax (woodchuck). The record is from RNAcentral. Lineage: Eukaryota; Metazoa; Chordata; Mammalia; Rodentia; Sciuridae.